UUAAUAGAUGUAGUUUGAAAGACUAAUUAUCUGUUAUUUAUAAUUUUAGUAGUUUUAAUUGAAGAAUUAAAUAUUUUUAGUAUAUUUAUUGAAAAAAUGUUUAUUGAGAUAGUGUAUUAGUAUUGUGAAAGAAAAUUUUUAUUAUUGAAGAAGAAAAAUUUAUUUUUGUACCUUGUGUCUCAGGGUUUAUUAAAAAUGUUCUAAUAUUUUAGUUUUCUCGAAUUCAAAAGAGUUAUUUAUUUAUAAUUUUUAUUGUGGCAAAAAUAUUAUUAAUAGAUAAAUAGAGGUGAAACGUUAAUCGAUUUUGAAUAUAUCUGGUUUUUUAAGAAAUAAAUUUAAUUUUUUAUUAUUUUUAUUAUUUUUUUAAAUUUUUAAUUUUAUAUUAAAUAAUAGUGAUAGCUUAGGGGUUGAGCUUUAAGCUAGAUUAAUAUAAUGAUUUUUUAAUUUUGGUUAAAUAUGUAGGAUUUAAAGUUUCUUUAUAGUGAUUUAUAUCUUGAUUAAUUUUUUUAUAAGAUUUUUUAAUUUUGUUUAUUUUUUUUAUUAAAAUUUAGGUUUUAAUAUUUAUAGUCUAGUAAAAAUGAUAAAAUUAGUAUAAUAUAUUUUAUUUUUAAUAUUUAAUAAAAGGUUUUUUUAAGGAAUUCGGCAAAUAAAUUUCCCACCUGUUUAUUAAAAACAUGGCCUUUUGAUUAUAAUUUAAGGUCUGUCCUGCCCAAUGAUUAAAUAAUUAAAUGGCUGCGGUAUACUGACCGUGCAAAGGUAGCAUAAUCAUUAGUUUUUUAAUUGAAAGCUUGUAUGAAAGGUUUGAUGAGGAAAAUACUGUCUCAAUUAAAAUUUUUUAGAAUUUUAUUAUUUUGUAAAAAGGCAAAUAUGAAUAUAAAAGACGAGAAGACCCUAUAGAGUUUUAUAAUUUAAGUAUAACGGGUUAUUAGAAUUUUUUUCUUUAUUUAUUUGAAUUAUUUGGUUGGGGUGAUUGAAUAAUUUAAUAAACUUUUUUUUUUAUUUUACACUGAUAAGUGUAUUGUUGAUCCUUUGAAAAGAUUAAAAGAAAAAAUUACCUUAGGGAUAACAGCGUUAUUUUUCUAGAGAGUUCAUAUCGAAAGAAGAGUUUGCGACCUCGAUGUUGGAUUAAAAUUAAGGUUUGGUGGAGAAGCUGAACUAUUAGGUCUGUUCGACCUUUAAAAUUUUACAUGAUCUGAGUUUAGACCGGCGUGAGCCAGGUUGGUUUCUAUCUUUAUAAUGUUAAUAUUUUUUAGUACGAAAGGACCAAAAAUUUACUAUAAUAGUUUUUAAUUGAAUACUAUUACUGCUUUGACAGAAUAGUGUGAUAGAUUUAGAAUCUUUUUAUAUAGUAUAUUAUACUAUAA
RNAcentral lists this ribosomal RNA (1364 nucleotides) under Scolytinae sp. BMNH 1040075. Its description in RNAcentral is "16S ribosomal RNA". The stretch from base 612 to 1364 matches the Rfam family "Archaeal large subunit ribosomal RNA", at positions 1423 to 2881 of the family's 2987-position model. The record is from RNAcentral. Lineage: Eukaryota; Metazoa; Arthropoda; Insecta; Coleoptera; Curculionidae.